Molecule: RNA transcript, 1962 nt
Organism: Hibiscus syriacus
Lineage: Eukaryota; Viridiplantae; Streptophyta; Magnoliopsida; Malvales; Malvaceae
Gene name: splicing factor SF3a60 homolog
Exons: 13
Source: RefSeq, a predicted model, not a curated record
AAAAAACGACAAGCGAGAAAUGAAAUUUUGGCCCAUCGUGCAAAAUAGAACCACCGCCUCUGCUACUGCAAUAUCGACCGAGGUAAAGAAACCCUAGACUUGUUCAAUCGGCUAAGCGAAUCGAAAGCCGUGAUGUCGUCGACUCUACUCGAGCUGAAUCGGGCUGCUCACGAAGAUGUAGAACGUCUUGAGCGGCUCAUCGUGAAGGACCUGCAAAAUGAUCCACCUACCUCCAAAGACCGAUUAUAUCAAAGCCACCGUGUCCGCAAUAAUAUCGACACAAUCAUCGCAACCACCGAGAAGCUGGUUGAGAUAUAUGAAGAUAAAGAUAGUUCUAGGAAAGAUGAAAUCGCGGCUCUCGGAGGUCAAACAGCUACCGGAAUUAAUGUCUUUAGUGCUUUUUAUGAUAGAUUGAAGGAGAUACGUGAGUACCAUAGAAAGCACCCCGCUGCACGUGUCGUCGAUGCUAAUGAAGAGUAUGAGGCUUUACUUAAGGAGGAACCAGUCAUUGAGUUCAGCGGAGAGGAAGCCUUUGGUCGGUAUCUGGAUCUGCAUGAAUUGUUCAAUCAGUACAUUAAUUCAAAAUUUGGAGCCAAAAUUGAAUACUCGGCUUACCUGGAUAUCUUUUCACAGCCACACAAUAUCCCUUGGAAACUGAAGUCAACAAGGCAAUACAGGGAGUACAUGGAGAAUUUGUUGGAGUAUCUAAUUUACUUCUUUCAGAGGACUGAACCACUACAAGAUCUUGACAGAAUCUUUUCCAAGGUUGAGGUUGAGUUUGAGGAGCAGUGGGCUAAUGGCCAGGUACAAGGAUGGGAGAAACAAGGUCCGGAAAAUGAAGAUGAUCCUAUGCAUCAUGCAGUGAUUGAUCUAGAUUAUUACAGCACAGUUGAAGAGUUGAUGGAAGUGGGACCAGAAAAGUUAAAGGAGGCAUUGGCAGCAUUAGGACUAAAAACUGGUGGUACCGUUCAGCAGCGCGCCGAGAGGCUUUUCCUCACCAAGCAUACACCUUUGGACAAGCUGGACAAGAAACAUUUUGCAAAAGGCUCACAUGGACCUCGACAAAAUGGAUCCGCUGCAGUUUCACAGGACAUUAACAGUCUGAAACAUGUUGCAUUGAUGGAAGCCAAGAUGAAGAAACUCUGUGAUUUACUGACUAAGACAAUCGAACAAACAAAAGAAAAUGUGGUAAAGAAGCAAGCUUUGACAUACGAGGAAAUGGAACAAGAACGUGAAGAGGAAGAGACACAAGUGGACACUGAAAGUGAUGAUGAAGAUCAACAGAUCUAUAAUCCUCUUAAAUUGCCAAUGGGUUGGGAUGGAAAGCCUAUACCUUACUGGCUUUACAAACUUCAUGGCCUUGGUCAGGAAUUUAAGUGCGAGAUUUGUGGGAACUAUAGCUACUGGGGUCGACGGGCUUUCGAGAGGCAUUUCAAAGAAUGGCGGCAUCAGCAUGGCAUGCGAUGCCUUGGUAUUCCUAACACCAAGAACUUCAAUGAAAUCACCAAUAUUGAGGAAGCUCAAGAACUGUGGGAGAAGAUAAGAGAACGGCAAGGAGUGAACAAGUGGCGGCCCGAUCUUGAAGAGGAAUACGAAGAUAAAGAGGGUAACAUCUAUAACAAGAAGACAUAUACCGAUUUGCAGCGGCAGGGGCUGAUUUAAAGAUGCUUCUGUUGAGAAGCGAGUGUUCCGCGUUUCGCAUACCUGCGGAUACGCUGAACUAAACUAGUGGCAUUCGAGAAACAAUUAAGGAAUUCACUAUUGCCUGGAAGUUUCAUUUGGACAAGACGCAUACAAGUGCCGAGCCAUUUUACGCCACGGGAGACGGGCAUACUGUACCGGGCAAGAAUUGGCGUAUUUGAACUGGUUCAACCAUUGUGAACUUAUAUGAUGGUUAAAGUAAUAUCUUAUGCUUUGUAGAGAUUUCGUAAAACAAUUCAAUUUAAAGUACAAGCAAAGCAA